Molecule: ribosomal RNA, 483 nt
Filed under: uncultured bacterium
Lineage: Bacteria
Description: partial 16S ribosomal RNA
Rfam family: Bacterial small subunit ribosomal RNA
Source: RNAcentral
GACGAACGCUGGCGGCGUGCUUAACACAUGCAAGUCGAACGCUGAAGCCCAGCUUUUGUUGGGUGGAUGAGUGGCGAACGGGUGAGUAACACGUGAGUAACCUGCCCCCUUCUUUGGGAUAACGCCCGGAAACGGGUGCUAAUACUGGAUAUUCACUGGUCUUCGCAUGGGGGUUGGUGGAAAGGGUUUUUCUGGUGGGGGAUGGGCUCGCGGCCUAUCAGCUUGUUGGUGGGGUGAUGGCCUACCAAGGCUUUGACGGGUAGCCGGCCUGAGAGUGUGACCGGUCACAUUGGGACUGAGAUACGGCCCAGACUCCUACGGGAGGCAGCAGUGGGGAAUAUUGCACAAUGGGCGCAAGCCUGAUGCAGCGACGCCGCGUGAGGGAUGGAGGCCUUCGGGUUGUGAACCUCUUUCGCUCAUGGUCAAGCCGCAACAAUGGUUGUGGUGAGGGUAGUGGGUAAAGAAGCGCCGGCUAACUACGUG